GUCUUGGCACCUCUAAUUGCUCUCGUGUAUUCGGUGCCGCGACUUUCACGAUGGCUCGCCCAACCUUACUACCUUCUGUCGGCCCUGCUCUCUGCUGCCUUCCUACUCGUGAGGAAACUGCCGCCGCUCUGCCACGGUCUGCCCACCCAACGCGAAGACGGUAACCCGUGUGACUUUGACUGGAGAGAAGUGGAGAUCCUGAUGUUUCUCAGUGCCAUUGUGAUGAUGAAGAACCGCAGAUCCACUUUGUGUCCCUGGUGAUGUUGGAACAUUAAUGAUGGAACAUGGCCAAACUUCAGUCAUGAUCCUGAAGCCAUGGUUUCUUCCCUGCCAGAAAUGAAGGUUCAGUUAUGAGGCAACCCUCUAGUAAGGCAUUGUAAAAGUUACUGGAUUUGGUUUAAUAAAAGUUGAAAUAAAGUA
This 420-nucleotide long non-coding RNA is filed under the name Homo sapiens (human). RNAcentral's name for it is "HSALNT0175394". Lineage: Eukaryota; Metazoa; Chordata; Mammalia; Primates; Hominidae. The record is from RNAcentral.